This 251-nucleotide ribosomal RNA is filed under the name uncultured bacterium. RNAcentral's name for it is "partial 16S ribosomal RNA". It matches the Rfam family "Bacterial small subunit ribosomal RNA", at positions 525 to 775 of the family's 1533-position model. The record is from RNAcentral.
ACGGAGGAUCCGAGCGUUAUCCGGAUUUAUUGGGUUUAAAGGGAGCGUAGGCGGACUAUUAAGUCAGCUGUGAAAGUUUGCGGCUUAACCGUAAAAUUGCAGUUGAUACUGGUCGUCUUGAGUGCAGUAGAGGUAGGCGGAAUUCGUGGUGUAGCGGUGAAAUGCUUAGAUAUCACGAAGAACUCCGAUUGCGAAGGCAGCUUACUGGACUGUAACUGACGCUGAUGCUCGAAAGUGUGGGUAUCAAACAG